UAGGGAAUCUUCGGCAAUGGGGGCAACCCUGACCGAGCAACGCCGCGUGAGUGAAGAAGGUUUUCGGAUCGUAAAGCUCUGUUGUAAGAGAAGAACGUGUGUGAGAGUGGAAAGUUCACACAGUGACGGUAACUUACCAGAAAGGGACGGCUAACUACGUGCCAGCAGCCGCGGUAAUACGUAGGUCCCGAGCGUUGUCCGGAUUUAUUGGGCGUAAAGCGAGCGCAGGCGGUUUAAUAAGUCUGAAGUUAAAGGCAGUGGCUUAACCAUUGUUCGCUUUGGAAACUGUUAAACGUGAGUGCAGAAGGGGAGGGUGGAAUUCCAUGUGUAGCGGUGAAAUGCGUAGAUAUAUGGAGGAACACCGGUGGCGAAGGCAGCUCUCUGGUCUGUAACUGACGCUGAGGCUCGAAAGCGUGGGGAGCAAACAGG
This 429-nucleotide ribosomal RNA is filed under the name bacterium. RNAcentral's name for it is "partial 16S ribosomal RNA". It matches the Rfam family "Bacterial small subunit ribosomal RNA", at positions 355 to 776 of the family's 1533-position model. The record is from RNAcentral.